RNAcentral lists this unclassified non-coding RNA (233 nucleotides) under Hevea brasiliensis (rubber tree). The record is from RNAcentral. Lineage: Eukaryota; Viridiplantae; Streptophyta; Magnoliopsida; Malpighiales; Euphorbiaceae.
GAGGUCCUGAAAACUCCUCCUCCAAAAUCUUCAACAAACCUCUAUCUGUAUCAAGGCCAAGCAAAAUUAAAAGAUAAAACAGCACCAAAACCACCAAAAAUCUAAUAAUAGAUUGAAUUGUAUAUUUCUAGGAUAUUGGACAUGCGAUUACACUGAAUGGUUGAAAAAGCUGCAUGAGCGAGAAUCAGGACUCCAAAUGCGCCAAUUAAAAAGCCUAAACCCAUUUUAUUAAC